CGCGAAGAACCUUACCAAGGCUUGACAUGGACCGGACCGCCGCAGAAAUGCGGUUUCCCUUCGGGGCCGGUUUACAGGUGGUGCAUGGUUGUCGUCAGCUCGUGUCGUGAGAUGUUGGGUUAAGUCCCGCAACGAGCGCAACCCUCGUUCUAUGUUGCCAGCGCGUUAUGGCGGGGACUCAUAGGAGACUGCCGGGGUCAACUCGGAGGAAGGUGGGGACGACGUCAAAUCAUCAUGCCCCUUAUGUCUUGGGCUUCACGCAUGCUACAAUGGCCGGUACAAAGGGUUGCGAUACUGUGAGGUGGAGCUAAUCCCAAAAAGCCGGUCUCAGUUCGGAUUGAGGUCUGCAACUCGACCUCAUGAAGUCGGAGUCGCUAGUAAUCGCAGAUCAGCAACGCUGCGGUGAAUA
Molecule: ribosomal RNA, 409 nt
Filed under: uncultured soil bacterium
Lineage: Bacteria
Description: bacterial SSU rRNA
Rfam family: Bacterial small subunit ribosomal RNA
Source: RNAcentral